This 459-nucleotide long non-coding RNA is filed under the name Mus musculus (house mouse). Its description in RNAcentral is "long non-coding RNA chr4:143152571-143153030". The record is from RNAcentral. Lineage: Eukaryota; Metazoa; Chordata; Mammalia; Rodentia; Muridae.
CAUGCCAUCCAGACUAAGGAAGACCUGGAAACUCCGGGGCCACAUGAGCCACAGCAGCAUCGGUAAGCACAACAAGCACCCAGGAGGCCAUGGAAAUGCUCGAGGAGUGCAUUACCACAGACUCAACUUUGACAAAUAUCAUCCAGGUUACUUUGGGAAAGUUGGUGUGAGGCGUUACCACAUGAAGAGGAACCAGAGCUUCUGCCCAACUGUCAACCUGGAUGAAUUGUGGACGUUGGGUCAGGGAGCAGGCACUGGUCAAUGCGGCAAAGAACAAGACUGGAGCUGCUCCCAUCACUGAUGUUGUGUGAUCAGGCUACUACAGAGUUCUGGGCAGGGAAAGCUCCCUGAGCAACUUGUCAUCAUGAAGGCUACGUGCCUCAGCAGAAGAGCUGAGGAGAAGAUUAAGGGUGUUGAGGUGCCUGUGUUCUGGUGGCUUAAAAGCCACUCUGAAGGUUA